This 2007-nucleotide long non-coding RNA is filed under the name Olea europaea subsp. europaea. Lineage: Eukaryota; Viridiplantae; Streptophyta; Magnoliopsida; Lamiales; Oleaceae. The record is from RNAcentral.
UAAUUUGACUGACAGAAAUCAGCUUAUGAAAAAGGGAAGGCAUAAGUAAGGUAUUAGAUAGUGAUAAAGUUGGUGAUAACAUUAUAGUGCCAGCCCCUUUUACCGAGGAGAUACCCCCAUUGGCAUUGGCAAUACUAGCCCCUUUUACCAAAGAGAUACCCCCAUAUGGUUAGUUGCUCCGGAAUCAAGAAUCCAUGUAUUUCUAUCAUUACUGUUAUUAAACCCGAGUAGGGCCAUACCUGAUGUGGAGGUCGGAGGUUUGGUCGAAAUGAGGGACAAGUGCGGUUCUGCUACAGCAACUUCAACCAUUACCCGUACUAGCAUCAUUAGCGGCUCCAUCACGCCUCUUCUUGGCUUGAAGAUCAUGCCACCAAUAUGGAUAUUCAUUUAAUUUAAAGCACGUGUAAUGGGUGUGAUUAGUGUUCCCACAAUGAGAGCAUUUGGUCCCCUCGGUAUUGAUCUUUCGCUUUUGAUGAGAAUUAGCAUUUGACCUGUUGCUAUUCAAAGACAAAGGCCCAACAUUGGAGGCUGAACUUGAGCCAUUCUUGAAGCUUUUGGAUGCCAAGACUGCUCCAUAUAUGUCCUCCAUGCCUCCAGAUUCUAUCAUCAUAGCCUGUCGAUCUGCUUCUCUUCGGACAUGGGCAUAUGCUUGCUCUACUGUAGGAAAAGGUUUCAUUUGUAAUACUCCACUCUGAAUAUGGUCCAGGCGGUCAUCAAGUCCGUCUAAGAAAACAUUCACCCUGUCUUCUUGAAGGAUGGAAUUAUAGUGCUUUACAUCCAUUGGGCACUCCAUGGGAUUUGGACGACAAAAAUCAAUUUCUCGCCAAAGGCCCUGCAAUUCAUUAUAAAAAUUUUCCAACAAACCACCAGCUUGCUUAAGCCUGCUUACCCACCUGCGGAGUUCAUAGACUUGGGAGGUAUCGCUUCCAUCAAAGAAUGUUGUGGCAAUAGCAUCCCACACUUGCUUGGUGGUUGGGUACCAAAUGAAGGUACUGAUAAGAGAGGCUCCAUAGAGUUAACCGUUGAUGAUUGCGUUAUCAGUUCGUGAUCGCAUGAAGGUGGGAUCCGUCUCAGAUGGCUGAGGAAGGUCACCAUUAAUAUAUCCCAUUUUAUCCUUGGCGAUAUACAUCUCAACCACUUGGGACCAUAGGGUAUAAUUGGAUCCAUCCAGUUUAAUGCCAAUAGGUGCAGCACCCAUGUCUGCUAUUGGUGUCGAGGCUGAAACUUUAUUCAAGGCCUCAGUCAUCUUCAUGGUUAGUUCUGUCAAGGUAGUAGCUGGUGGAGAUUCACCAUAAAUUUCAUGCUUUAUUUACCAUGUAUAGCUUAAAGUUUCUCUAUGCAGUAACAUGGAGUUUGUUGUUUCUACUCAUUUUUAUGCUCAAUUAGUGUUUCUCUGUAUCAAACUUUAAUGUGGUAUCGGAGCAUUUCCAUUAUUGCUACCUUCUCUAUCUUCUUCUAGCUUCUGCAAACAUCGGAAAUCGUGUUUGACUCUGCAUCCUCCAUGCCUUCACAAUUGAUCAAUGAUAUCAAAUCCCCGUAUUUCUUAACCCCCGACGACAAUCGUGGGGCUGUAUUGAUGCCUGAUCUCCUUACAAAGAAAAUAUGCUACCUGGAAAUGCUCGAUAUGUAUGGAUCUCAAUAGCAAAAACAAACUUCGCUUUGUGCACGACCCUCCAUCGAUAAUAUACAUCAACACAGCCCCUAAAUUUUUUCUAAAAUUUCUACUUCAUUACUGCAAAUGUCCUCCGUUGUUUUCUUCCAAAUAUGGUGAGCAAUCCCAAUUAUGUACCAUGAGGAUUAGCAUUAUGUGUUUCAUGUUCCUUUUUUUUUUUUUUCCUGAGUUCGCCACAUUAGGACUGAAAGGAACUAUGGCUUCUCAAAGUUUUGCUGCUAGUAGAAAGACUCUAUAUCUGAAGCCCUUGCUAAGAUAAUUGAUUCAUCGACAAAUAAGAGGCAAUUAACUCGUAGUCUUGCUCGAGUGCAAUGUGCAUUGCAUGCCUAUCAAAU